AUACGGAGGAUGCGAGCGUUAUCCGGAUUUAUUGGGUUUAAAGGGAGCGUAGGCGGGAGCUAAGUCAGCGGUUAAAUGGUGCGGCUCAACCGUGCCCUGCCGUUGAAACUGGGUUUCUUGAGAGUGCAAGAGGCGGAUGGAAUUCAUGGUGUAGCGGUGAAAUGCUUAGAUAUCAUGAAGAACUCCGAUUGCGAAGGCAGUCCGCUGGGGCACGUCUGACGCUGAUGCUCGAAGGUGCGGGAAUCAAACAGGAUUAGAUACCCUGGUAGUCCGCACGGUAAACGAUGAUUACCCGCUGUCGGCGGCAGACAGUCGGCGGCCAAGCGAAAGCGAUAAGUAAUCCACCUGGGGAGUACGCCGGCAACGGUGAAACUUAAAGGAAUUGACGGGG
This 391-nucleotide ribosomal RNA is filed under the name uncultured bacterium. RNAcentral describes it as "partial 16S ribosomal RNA". It matches the Rfam family "Bacterial small subunit ribosomal RNA", at positions 523 to 918 of the family's 1533-position model. The record is from RNAcentral.